GACGAACGCUGGCGGCGUGCUUAACACAUGCAAGUCGAACGGAAAGGCCCUGCUUUUGUGGGGUGCUCGAGUGGCGAACGGGUGAGUAACACGUGGGUAACCUGCCCUUGACUUUGGGAUAACUUCAGGAAACUGGGGCUAAUACCGGAUAGGAGCUCCUGCUGCAUGGUGGGGGUUGGAAAGUUUCGGCGGGUGGGGAUGGACUCGCGGCUUAUCAGCUUGUUGGUGGGGUAGUGGCUUACCAAGGCUUUGACGGGUAGCCGGCCUGAGAGGGUGACCGGCCACAUUGGGCCUGAGGUACGGCCCAGACUCCUACGGGAGGCAGCAGUGGGGAAUAUGGCACAAUGGGCGGAAGCCUGAUGCAGCAACGCCGCGUUCGGGAUGACGGCCUGCGGGUUGUAAACCGCUUUCGCCUGUGGCGAAGCGGGAGUGACGGUAAUGGGUAAAGAAGCACCGGCUAACUACGUG
RNAcentral lists this ribosomal RNA (468 nucleotides) under uncultured bacterium. RNAcentral describes it as "partial 16S ribosomal RNA". It matches the Rfam family "Bacterial small subunit ribosomal RNA", at positions 28 to 507 of the family's 1533-position model. The record is from RNAcentral.